GCCUGGAUAGCUCAGUGGUAGAGCAAUCCCCUUGUAAGGGAUAGGUCGUGAGUUCAAAUCUCACUCCAGGCUCCA
RNAcentral lists this transfer RNA (75 nucleotides) under candidate division WWE3 bacterium. RNAcentral's name for it is "tRNA-Thr". It matches the Rfam family "tRNA". From Rfam's summary of the family: Transfer RNA (tRNA) molecules are approximately 80 nucleotides in length. Their secondary structure includes four short double-helical elements and three loops (D, anti-codon, and T loops). The record is from RNAcentral. Lineage: Bacteria; candidate division WWE3.